AGAGUUUGAUUCUGGCUCAGGACGAACGCUGGCGGCGUGCCUAACACAUGCAAGUCGAACGGGGUACCCUGAAGCGAGGCUUCGGCCAAGCGGAAGGACUACCUAGUGGCGGACGGGUGAGUAACGCGUGAGCAACCUGCCUUUCAGAGGGGGACAACAGUUGGAAACGACUGCUAAUACCGCAUAAAAUCAUAGGAUGGCAUCAUCUAAUGAUCAAAGAUUUAUCGCUGAAAGAUGGGCUCGCGUCUGAUUAGAUAGUUGGUGAGGUAACGGCUCACCAAGUCGACGAUCAGUAGCCGGACUGAGAGGUUGAACGGCCACAUUGGGACUGAGAUACGGCCCAG
This 344-nucleotide ribosomal RNA is filed under the name uncultured bacterium. Its description in RNAcentral is "bacterial SSU rRNA". It matches the Rfam family "Bacterial small subunit ribosomal RNA", at positions 8 to 334 of the family's 1533-position model. The record is from RNAcentral.